Molecule: ribosomal RNA, 204 nt
Filed under: Vibrio cholerae
Lineage: Bacteria; Pseudomonadati; Pseudomonadota; Gammaproteobacteria; Vibrionales; Vibrionaceae
Description: partial 23S ribosomal RNA
Rfam family: Bacterial large subunit ribosomal RNA
Source: RNAcentral
AGAACCUGAAACCGUGUACGUACAAGCAGUAGGAGCACCUUCGUGGUGUGACUGCGUACCUUUUGUAUAAUGGGUCAGCGACUUAUAUUCAGUGGCAAGGUUAACCGUAUAGGGGAGCCGUAGCGAAAGCGAGUCUUAACUGGGCGCUCAGUCUCUGGAUAUAGACCCGAAACCGGGUGAUCUAGCCAUGGGCAGGUUGAAGGU